AUUACGCCUAAAACGUCGUCGUU
RNAcentral lists this non-coding RNA (23 nucleotides) under Arabidopsis thaliana (thale cress). The record is from RNAcentral. Lineage: Eukaryota; Viridiplantae; Streptophyta; Magnoliopsida; Brassicales; Brassicaceae.